GAUGAACGCUAGCGGCAGGCUUAAUACAUGCAAGUCGAGGGGCAGCACGGUUAGCAAUAACUGGUGGCGACCGGCGCACGGGUGCGUAACACGUAUACAAUCUACCUUAAACAGGGGAUAGCCUUUCGAAAGAGAGAUUAAUACCCGUAAUAAAUUGAACGGCAUCGUUUGAUUUUGAAAGCUCCGGCGGUUUGAGAUGAGUAUGCGUCUGAUUAGCUAGUUGGUGAGGUAACGGCUCACCAAGGCGACGAUCAGUAGGGGAUCUGAGAGGACUAACCCCCACACUGGUACUGAGACACGGACCAGACUCCUACGGGAGGCAGCAGUAAGGAAUAUUGGUCAAUGGAGGCAACUCUGAACCAGCCAUGCCGCGUGCAGGAUGACGGCCCUAUGGGUUGUAAACUGCUUUAUACAAGAGAAAACCCUGGUACGUGUACCAGGUUGAUAGUAUUGUAAGAAUAA
Molecule: ribosomal RNA, 462 nt
Filed under: uncultured bacterium
Lineage: Bacteria
Description: bacterial SSU rRNA
Rfam family: Bacterial small subunit ribosomal RNA
Source: RNAcentral